This is a regulatory RNA element of Clostridium sp. 7_2_43FAA, 172 nucleotides long. It matches the Rfam family "Lysine riboswitch aptamer". Rfam says of the family: Riboswitches are metabolite binding domains within certain messenger RNAs that serve as precision sensors for their corresponding targets. Allosteric rearrangement of mRNA structure is mediated by ligand binding, and this results in modulation of gene expression. Lineage: Bacteria; Bacillati; Bacillota; Clostridia; Eubacteriales; Clostridiaceae. The record is from Rfam.
AGUGUAGAUAGAGGUUGCAAUAAUUAAUAUUAGUAUUGAUGAGGUAAGCACGAUGAUUUAAUAUGAAAGGAAUUAUUGCCGAAGUUUAUAAUUUUGCUUAAGGAUUAUAAGCUGGUUUUGUAUAAAAUAUAUACAAAACUGUCACAAUAAUUUGUGGGGAGCUAUCUUUGUG